UAGCGCGGUGGUCCCACCUGACCCCAUGCCGAACUCAGAAGUGAAACGCCGUAGCGCCGAUGGUAGUGUGGGGUCUCCCCAUGCGAGAGUAGGGAACUGCCAGGCA
This 106-nucleotide ribosomal RNA is filed under the name Escherichia coli. The record is from RNAcentral. RNAcentral also lists the same sequence under 61 other names. Lineage: Bacteria; Pseudomonadati; Pseudomonadota; Gammaproteobacteria; Enterobacterales; Enterobacteriaceae.